Molecule: long non-coding RNA, 204 nt
Filed under: Brachypodium distachyon (stiff brome)
Lineage: Eukaryota; Viridiplantae; Streptophyta; Magnoliopsida; Poales; Poaceae
Description: long non-coding RNA (BDIS_LNC000063)
Source: RNAcentral
ACCCGCUGACAAAAUAACUGGUGGCUACUUACUAAAAAAAAGAAAAAGCUGGUGGCUACGAUCUCAUCUGAUCUGAUCAGACGCCAUGCUUGUACCCUUGUAGUACCACCGCUGCUUUUACUCUCGCCGACUGACUGACCGAAGCUUUACUGCGCACGCAAUGUAUAUGUAAUUCACAGUUUCAGUACUUGCUUCGCCCUCGGC